RNAcentral lists this long non-coding RNA (306 nucleotides) under Anas platyrhynchos platyrhynchos (common mallard). RNAcentral describes it as "lncRNA (ENSAPLG00000018407.1)". The record is from RNAcentral. Lineage: Eukaryota; Metazoa; Chordata; Aves; Anseriformes; Anatidae.
AAAACAACAGCAAAAUGGACUAUCUUCUGAGUGAAGCUACUGUAGAUAUUUGUAUAAUCUGUGGAAUUAUGGCAUCUGGGAACCUGAUAAGUAGCUGAGGUCCACCAGCUGGUAAAAGGACACAGACAGCUGAGAUCAGUUGGGACUUGAAGCCUACUGCUAACCAGCUAAGGGUCUGAAGGUGAAGAUCACAACUUGUCUGACCAAGUACAGUUUCCAUGGCAGUAGCAGUGCCCUAACAUAGAAACCACCUCUCUAGUGCACACCUAAAAUAAAUUCCAAAAUACUCUUUCCUGAAAAUUGGUG